Molecule: long non-coding RNA, 928 nt
Filed under: Anas platyrhynchos (mallard)
Lineage: Eukaryota; Metazoa; Chordata; Aves; Anseriformes; Anatidae
Description: lncRNA (ENSAPLG00020016018.1)
Source: RNAcentral
GGGCUGGAAGCUUCAGCCAGUUCUUGUUGCCUCAUUUUAUUUCCUCUAAUCACUUGCUUUAGCUGCCGCUUGGGUAUUGUGUGGGGAGGAGGUGGUUGUUUGGCGUUUUCGGAUUUUGCACUUCUUGCUGUUCCCAACGUGUAGAGCGAGGUGUGCUGUCCAAACCGGGGCCGGUCCUUGGCAAAGUAACUCCGACUCUGAAGUGGGAGGGAGGAAGAAAAAUUUACAGGAACAAACAUCAGAAAGUAGCAUGUCUGUUGGAUGCUGGUAACUCGGUCACUGCUCAGGAAGCUCUCCUGCAGCCGGCCAGCUUGUUUCUAGUGUGUACAGGCACCCAAAAGCCAAAGUCAGGGGAAGCUGGAGGUGCCCAAUGCCAGUGGCCUCAUUUCAAGACCAGCACCUCAAAUCCAAAUGAAGUUAACAGAAGCUUGAGGUGCUCAGUGACUCACCUGAAGGUAGAUAUUAAAAAUUAAGCAUGUUAUUGUUGGAGGGUUUUGGAAAUUAUAGCCUAAGUGACAGUGUCAGAGCAUAAAGCUGAGAAGUUCCUGUUCUCAUAGAUGAGUCCCCCCUGAGCAACUUGUUAUCAAUAACUAACCUAUAUGCACAAUGUAACACGUAUAGGUCUCUAUAGGAAACCACUAACACAGAUCAUAAGCUUAAUAGAAUCUGUGUAUAACCAAUGUUUGAAUAACACUAAUAACUCUGUACAAGGAAACCAAGGGAGCAGCUCAGAGUGGGUGGGAAGCAGUAGCCAGCAGGCUGGAUAGGAGGAAAGGAGAAAUAAUAAGGCACCUCGCUCCCAGGAAGGGCCAGCAGGUGUAUUUAUAGAGGUCACACACCUUCUGGUCAAUUAGGUCUAAACCCAGAGGAACCACUGGUAAAAUAUCCAUUGCUGCUGGCUUUGGUAAAAGCCAAUUAGAGAUGCAUU